Molecule: long non-coding RNA, 316 nt
Filed under: Gossypium barbadense (sea-island cotton)
Lineage: Eukaryota; Viridiplantae; Streptophyta; Magnoliopsida; Malvales; Malvaceae
Description: long non-coding RNA (GBAR_LNC008285)
Source: RNAcentral
CUUGAGUUUUUCCCAUAUUCAAACCAUGAAGAGGUUCGAAAAAUGAGCCCCCAGUUAGAGAAGGAGAGAAAAGAGGAGAUAUUUUAACAAAAUAGAAAGGGAUGAAUGUAUGUAAAGUAUAGCAGCUAAUUGUGAAUGGCAAUUUAAGUAUCCAACAGAAGAAAAAGAAGGGUAUCCACUUCCAUCCAUAUGAAGCACGAGGACGAUGACGACCGCAUCUUGUUUCUUUCUUUUUUUUGUCUUGUCGUCUUUAUUGUUUGUGAUUGAGUACGUGUUCAAUAAUUCAUUACAUAUAUAAUUUUUGAUUUAUUUGAAG